Cavia porcellus (domestic guinea pig) is the source of this 2741-nucleotide long non-coding RNA. RefSeq lists it as uncharacterized. The record is from RefSeq and is a predicted model, not a curated record. The transcript has 2 exons. NCBI's taxonomy places the organism in Eukaryota, Metazoa, Chordata, Mammalia, Rodentia, Caviidae.
ACCCCCGGAGAUUGCCACUGGGCCAGGCCCCAGGCGGAUUUUCUCCCCCUUUCCCUGGGUUCCCGUGACGCUCUGACGUCCUUAGAUAGCCCAAGGCAGAGUUUUUCUGGACCAGCUUCUGUCCACACUGAAAGACUCUCACAUCCUUCAGAGCUUUUUAGGUUCUCAUGGGCAGAGCUGUUACUAAAACCCACGAGAAAUCCACUCGUAUAUACUGGUGAUGGCCAAUUAUUACGAGCUUUGGAUCCAUAUGAUACCAAUUGGUCUAAAACAAGUAAAAAGUGACGACUUACAUUUAGUAGACCACGGUCCGUUGCCUCAUCUGGCUAUAACUCCAUGGGCCAGACCCCACAUCAGAUUUUAUAUUGGGGACCACUUCCUGCCCCCCCAAAAAAACCAUACCUAUCUAUGGCUUAUACACUGACGACAAGUUUACAAAACUAUCUUUAAGCCUUUGUUUUGAGAAUGUGUGUCCUUUCCUGCUCUACCAGGAUCCCUCCCCCUCUCCACACUUAAAUAGAUAAUAGUGUCUUUCUUUGCAGCCUUUCAGAGCUUUCUCACCAUCUCCUUUCCUCUCUACUCCCCCCCACCCCCGCUGCGCACCAACCCAUUCCCCGCUGAGAUGAGGAAGGUGCGCCCAAACAGUGUUGAGAGAUACUGCUGCUUUAAGCUUUCACGCCACGCCCCAACUCCACAUGGUAUCUUGGCUCUCAUGCCGUGCUCCAGGUCUGCGCGGGUUUGGCUCUAACACCGCGCCCUAAUCCACGUGCCCCGUGAGCAGUUCUGGCUUCAUGUUUCCCAGCCCGCCCCCCACACUACGUCUGGGCGCUCACCCCGCCUUCACUCUGUGUGCGCUGCGCCCCCCCCCAUGCACGCCCCGCCCAGCCUCAGAGUUCUGUCCUGCCUUAGGUGCUGCGCGUCUCCCGAACAAGCAUCUCCCAAACACAAGCGCUGUUUUAAACACAAACACAGAUAAACAACAGCUUGGCAGCUCGGCUCAGAGAUGCUAUUUUUUUAUAUUCUCAAACUAUUUAAUCAAGGUUAAAUAAGCGGGCAAUAGACAAGACUUUGGCUGAUAAAUGGGAAAGUGGCCACCUGGUAAUUUUACUAGCCUUGUUUAUCAAUUAAAGCCUUCAUUAAUCUCCAUAGCGUUAUAUGAGAUACCUCAACUAAAGUUCAUAUGACUAAAACAAUUCAUAGUUGCUGAUCUGAUGCUGUAUUCGUGUUUUCAGAUAUAAAGUUCAGAUUGUUUCUGCUGUCUUUUUUUGUGUUCCAGCCAUGACAAAUGUUCUCUUUCAGAUCCAGAUAUACACUUAGAGAUGUUUAACAACUAAAAUUAAAAAAUAAUUAUAAAUUCCUUUUGCUGGGAACUACUAGUUAUUUUCCAAAACAAGAGUUACAUGAUAUAUGCAAAACAACAAGACCAACACUGGGGCAGAAGCCAACUUAAACCUUUCCCAGCCUAUCUGCCUGCCCUGGCUCAGCCCUCCACCAAGCCAUAAUUAACUAUAUUCAACUGAUAUUAAAUAACACUGUAGCUGAUUUCUCUCCUAAAUAAAAAGGUAAAAAUUAAUUAAAUAGGCCAUCCUCCAAAAAUCAGAUGGCAUUAGACAUUUUAAUAACAUAAAGAGAUAUAUAUAUAUUACAUAAAUAACAUGUCAGUUCCUAAAAUUCUCUGGAUCUGUCCUCCUUAUGAGAAGCCAUUACUCAAAUUAUAAAUACCCUGUUGAUUAUAUUUGACUCCGCAUACUACUUAAUUCUACAGAUACCUUCUACUGUAGUCCAAAUCUCAAACAAAAAGGCAAAACUUGACCUUCAAACCUCAUAGAGACCUUAAUAUGGCUUUUCAUGUUUUCAACAACAGAGAUAACAAUAACACUUGUGACACUCGGAGUUCUGAGACAGGUAAACCGACACAAGGUAGAGCUGCCUGCCCCCCCACCAUGGACCAUGCCUCAAAUGCAGCAGAAGACAUUGGGCAAGAGAGUGCCCCAUCCUGGCAUUCUUUGGGAUCUUACCCCAGGGCUACUGGACUGUCCUAGCCACCAGAGAGUGCAUAAGCCAUCCUAACUUCUAGCCCUCACUGGAAAUGCCAACACUGCCAGAUUCAUCGCUGACAGAUCUGCUUAAACUUGCUGCUGAAGAUUGACGGGGCUCAGGGCCAACAGCAGCCUGCUUUAAGGUGUGUGUCUCAGAGUUUAAGUCCCACUAAAAGUCUCAGUCUAACAUAUGUGCAUUCACCAGUGAAGUUGUCCUGGCUAAAACAGCUAGCACCAGCUUCUACCUGGGCAUCAACUGUCAUCCUGUCAACUCCCCUAGACCCCAGUACAGUGCCCUCUUCCAGCAGGAAGCAGUAAAGAAAGAAAUCUUCACCCCUUUUCAUAAUAAUAAUCAUAAGAUGGGAUAUGAAAGAGUUUUGGCCCAGACAAGACACUGUAGCUGGUAAAGCCUCAGGUGGAACUAAGGAGCUCCAUCUUCCCCACCCCUACGAAUUUACCUGUGACUGUAUCUCCCCCACCCCUAGGAAUUUACCUAUGGCGCCAAAAGAAUACCAAUGGGCUACCUGUGCAUCACUAAUGCCCCUUAGGUUCCACCCCCAAACCUAGGCUACUUAUAUGCCUCCACUCCACGUGUUCCACGGAGAGAUCACCGACCCCAGGGGCAGGGGAGAUGCUGCGCCCCAGGGGAUUGGGGAUGUCUCUCCCCGCAUUCUCAAAAUAAAGGUCAUUUAUAUUUCAUAA